Molecule: ribosomal RNA, 424 nt
Filed under: uncultured organism
Description: bacterial SSU rRNA
Rfam family: Archaeal small subunit ribosomal RNA
Source: RNAcentral
CCUAUGGGGGGCAGCAGCCGGGAAUCAUCUGCAAUACGCGCAAGCGUGACAGUUUGAACUGGAGUGCUUUCCAAAUGGAAAGCUUUUGUGAAAUGUAAAAAGUUUUACGAAUAAGGACUGGGUAAGACGAGUGCCAGCCGCCGCGGUAAUACUCGCGGUCCAAGUCGCAGCCAUUUUUAUUGGGUCUAAAACAUCCGUAGCUUGCUUUGCAAGUUCUCUGUGAAAUCCCGUUUCUCAAGGGCGGGGCGGGCAAAGAAUACUACAAUAGCUAGAGACUGGAAGACGUAAGAAGUAUGUUCGAAGUAGCGGUAAAAUGUGUUAAUCUCGAACAGACUAACAAGAGCGAAGGCAUCUUACGAGGACAGUUCUGACAGUAAGGGAUGAAGGCUAAGGUCGCGAAAGGGAUUAGAUACCCCCGUAGUCC